This 404-nucleotide ribosomal RNA is filed under the name uncultured Eubacteriales bacterium. Its description in RNAcentral is "uncultured Clostridiales bacterium partial 16S ribosomal RNA". It matches the Rfam family "Bacterial small subunit ribosomal RNA", at positions 355 to 774 of the family's 1533-position model. Lineage: Bacteria; Bacillati; Bacillota; Clostridia; Eubacteriales. The record is from RNAcentral.
UGGGGAAUAUUGCGCAAUGGGGGAAACCCUGACGCAGCAACGCCGCGUGAAGGAUGAAGGUCUUCGGAUUGUAAACUUCUAUCGAUGGGGACGAACAAAUGACGGUACCCAAGUAAGAAGCCCCGGCUAACUACGUGCCAGCAGCCGCGGUAAUACGUAGGGGGCAAGCGUUAUCCGGAAUUACUGGGUGUAAAGGGUGAGUAGGCGGCUUGACAAGUCAUAUGUGGAAAUCCAGGGCUCAACUCUGGACGUGCAUAAGAAACUGUCGGGCUUGAGUGUGGGAGAGGUAAGCGGAAUUCCUAGUGUAGCGGUGAAAUGCGUAGAUAUUAGGAAGAACACCAGUGGCGAAGGCGGCUUACUGGACCACAACUGACGCUGAAUCACGAAAGCGUGGGGAGCAAACA